RNAcentral lists this transfer RNA (71 nucleotides) under Ailuropoda melanoleuca (giant panda). It matches the Rfam family "tRNA". From Rfam's summary of the family: Transfer RNA (tRNA) molecules are approximately 80 nucleotides in length. Their secondary structure includes four short double-helical elements and three loops (D, anti-codon, and T loops). Lineage: Eukaryota; Metazoa; Chordata; Mammalia; Carnivora; Ursidae. The record is from Rfam by way of RNAcentral.
GCCUGGCUGGCUCAGUUGGAGAGCAUGUGACUCUUGUUUUUGGGUCAUGAGUUCAAGCCCCAUGUUGGGUG